GACGAACGCUUGCGGCGUGCUUAACACAUGCAAGUCGAACGGAAAGGCCCUGCUUUUGUGGGGUGCUCGAGUGGCGAACGGGUGAGUAACACGUGAGUAACCUGCCCUUGACUUUGGGAUAACUUCAGGAAACUGGGGCUAAUACCGGAUAGGAGCUCCUGCUGCAUGGUGGGGGUUGGAAAGUUUCGGCGGUUGGGGAUGGACUCGCGGCUUAUCAGCUUGUUGGUGGGGUAGUGGCUUACCAAGGCUUUGACGGGUAGCCGGCCUGAGAGGGUGACCGGCCACAUUGGGACUGAGAUACGGCCCAGACUCCUACGGGAGGCAGCAGUGGGGAAUAUUGCACAAUGGGCGGAAGCCUGAUGCAGCAACGCCGCGUGCGGGAUGACGGCCUUCGGGUUGUAAACCGCUUUCGCCUGUGACGAAGCGUGAGUGACGGUAAUGGGUAAAGAAGCACCGGCUAACUACGUGCCAGCAGCCGCGGUGAUACGUAGGGUGCGAGCGUUGUCCGGAUUUAUUGGGCGUAAGGGGCUCGUAGGUGGUUGAUCGCGUCGGAAGUGUAAUCUUGGGGCUUAACCCUGAGCGUGCUUUCGAUACGGGUUGACUUGAGGAAGGUAGGGGAGAAUGGAAUUUCCUGGUGGAGCGGUGGAAUGCGCAGAUAUCAGGAGGAACACCAGUGGCGAAGGCGGUUCUCUGGGCCUUUCCUGACGCUGAGGAGCGAAAGCGUGGGGAGCGAACAGGCUUAGAUACCCUGGUAGUCCACGCUGUAAACGGUGGGUACUAGGUGUGGGGUCCAUUCCACGGGUUCCGUGCCGUAGCUAACGCUUUAAGUACCCCGCCUGGGGAGUACGGCCGCAAGGCUAAAACUCAAAGGAAUUGACGGGGCCCCGCACAAGCGGCGGAGCAUGCGGAUUAAUUCGAUGCAACGCGUAGAACCUUACCUGGGUUUGACAUGGAUCGGGAGUGCUCAGAGAUGGGUGUGCCUCUUUUGGGGUCGGUUCACAGGUGGUGCAUGCCUGUCGUCAGCUCGUGUCGUGAGAUGUUGGGUUAAGUCCCGCAACGAGCGCAACCCUUGUUCACUGUUGCCAGCACGUUAUGGUGGGGACUCAGUGGAGACCGCCGGGGUCAACUCGGAGGAAGGUGGGGAUGACGUCAAGUCAUCAUGCCCCUUAUGUCCAGGGCUUCACGCAUGCUACAAUGGCUGGUACAGAGAGUGGCGAGCCUGUGAGGGUGAGCGAAUCUCGGAAAGCCGGUCUCAGUUCGGAUUGGGGUCUGCAACUCGACCUCAUGAAGUCGGAGUCGCUAGUAAUCGCAGAUCAGCAACGCUGCGGUGAAUACGUUCCCGGG
RNAcentral lists this ribosomal RNA (1344 nucleotides) under uncultured bacterium. RNAcentral describes it as "16S ribosomal RNA". It matches the Rfam family "Bacterial small subunit ribosomal RNA", at positions 28 to 1378 of the family's 1533-position model. The record is from RNAcentral.